RNAcentral lists this ribosomal RNA (315 nucleotides) under uncultured eukaryote. RNAcentral describes it as "partial 18S ribosomal RNA". It matches the Rfam family "Eukaryotic small subunit ribosomal RNA", at positions 1470 to 1796 of the family's 1831-position model. The record is from RNAcentral.
CCCUUAGACGUUCUGGGCCGCACGCGCGCCACACUGACCAGUGCAACAAGCAUCCGUCCUUGGCCGACAGGCCCGGGCAAUCUUUGAACGCUGGUCGUGAUGGGGAUAGACUUUUGCAAUUUUUGGUCUUCAACGAGGAAUUCCUAGUAAACGCAAGUCAUCAACUUGCAUUGAUUACGUCCCUGCCCUUUGUACACACCGCCCGUCGCACCUACCGAUUGAAUGGUCCGGUGAAGCCUCCGGAUUGGCGCGCACCUCGGUGCCGCCGAGAAGUUGGCUAAACCUUACCAUUUAGAGGAAGGUGAAGUCGUANCA